GGGGGUGUACCGGUUUCGACGGGGAUUUUGAAGCAGAAUAAGCGGGCGGUUGCGGGGAACAACCUUAAAAGCUCCGAUUUUUAAAUAUAAACGCUAACAAAAAUUUAGCUUACGCUGCCUAAUUAUCGGCGGCCAUCUUACCCGGAAUUACCGUGUUUUGGGAUUAAGGUGUCAUUUUAACGGUCAACGCUCACAUCUUUUCGCCGCAGAUGCGAGUGUAUCAGGCGAUACCGUUUGUUUUCGGCGUGUUAUCCGCUGCGGCACACGGGAAUUUUAAUCGAUAACUACGCCCGUAGAAGGUUCUGUGAAUGAGUUUUCGGACAGGAGUUCAACUCUCCUCACCUCCACCA
Molecule: transfer-messenger RNA, 350 nt
Filed under: human gut metagenome
Rfam family: transfer-messenger RNA
About the family: Bacterial tmRNA, also known as 10Sa RNA or SsrA, is named for its dual tRNA and mRNA-like properties. Its role is to liberate the mRNA from a stalled ribosome.
Source: RNAcentral